GUUUGUUACAAGGAAAUACAGACAUAGGCCUACUCUACACGAACGUGCAACCAACUGAAGCCAACAGUGUGUACCUAGAGCAGCUGCAUUGUGCGAAAAUACCAAAAGGUACUGAGGUGACCGAGGCUAUGAGGGCACUACCUCCCGGUAGUGAUGAGGUCGUUGCUUUGGCUGUGACGGAGGAGCUGUCUACUGAGGUGACUCCCUUCGCUAGCCAGGACCCCGUCCGCCCUGUUGUAGAUGUUGCGGUAAUCCCAGAGGAUACGCCCGCCGCUGACGUCGAAGGUAUUGGGGAAGGGGCUCCUCAGGGUGGCCAUCCUGUGGAGCAUGAGGUGGGUCCUGUACCCCAGGUGGAUCCUUUCCCUUUUGUACCUGAGGUAGAGGUGCCUCUCCCACCUCUUUUUGUCCCAGAGGUAGAGGUGCCCGAUCCUUUUGUGCCACAGGUAUCCCAGGUAUUCCCAGGGAACACCAGAGACAGGGAGUCUCUGGGAGGGGUGGUUCAGGGAUUAGAGGUUAAUCCUGAGGGUAGGCCAGAGUUAGAUGUACAGGUUUUUGUCCCACGCAGGUCAACUAGGCCCCGUCGACCUCAUGUGCCUAUGCAGAUUAUUUGGGGCAGGGGGGUUAAGUCCUAUGAUUAGCCAAUGGCCUCACACCUCCUCCCUUCUUGUGGUUGAGGAGAACAUGACAGAAAUAAGGGUGUUUAGUAUACUUUAACAUUAAGCUACUUCAUCAUCAUACAUUAUCAUCAUCUGUUCAUCAUCAUCCAUUCAUCAUUAUAAUCAUUCAUUCAUCAUUAUCAUCUGUUCAUCAUCAUCAUCAUCAUCAUCCAAUCUUCAUUAUCAUCAUCCAUUCAUCAUUAUCAUCCAAUCUUCAUCAUCAUCAUCCAUUUAUCAUCAUCUACUCAUUAUCAUCAUCAUCUAUCCAGCGUCAUCAUCUGUUCAUCAUUAUCAUCAUCCAUUCAUCCUCAUCCAUUCAUCAUCAUCUCUAUUCAUCAUCAUCAUCGUCUAUCAUCAUCAUCAUCUAGUCAUCAUCUCAUCGUCAUCAUCAUCUAUUCAUCACCAUCAUCUCUAUUCAUCAUCAUCUUCUCUAUCUAUCUAUCAUCAUCUGUUUAGUCAUCAGUACUUGAUUUUUCUACAGACACUUGUUGGUUAGUCCCAAUCCCCCCUCCCCUCCUCUGCCCCAUGCCAUUUGUCAGCAUCAAGAUUUAGAACAUGAUCAAAGAUGUACUCUUAUUUUCUAUCAUGUUCUGCGUUGGUUGAGUAGGUUUAUGUGAUGGUAUGUUUGCAUUUUUCUGGUCAUGGCUGCUAUUUCCUUGCCGUUGGGGGCUGUCUGUUUUCUCUUAAAAGAGAAAUUAGAUUGACGGGAAGUGAAUCUGUGGCCAUGACAAAGAAACAUGCCUACAGGCCAACACCUUAGCCUGCUCAGCUCUUACAGAACAUGACUGAAGAUGACAGCUCGUCUCUGAUAACCAAAUACUACUACUGAUAAUAAUAAAUUUGAAUAUAGCAUGUUUUAUAAUCACAACCAUUUCUCAGUUUAUUUUAAAAGACUAAAAGUUUGCUGAUAGUUGUCAGGGUCUUAGAAGGGGAGUUGGGCAAACCCACUGGUGAAUGUGGAUUUUCCAAGGAAACUGGCAUCACUGCUUAUCAUUCAUGUCCAUCAAUCAUCAUCAUCCAGUCUUCAUCAUCAUCAUCCAUUUAUCAUCAUCUACUCAUUAUCAUCAUCCAUUCAUCCUCAUCCAUUCAUCAUCAUCUUCUUAUCAUCAUCAUUAUCAUUAUCUCUAUUCAUCAUCAUCAUCAUCUAGUCAUCAUCUGUUCAUCGUCUAGUCAUCUCCAUCAUCAUCUUCUCUAUUCAUCAUCAUCUUCAUCAUCUAGUCAUCAUCUAUUCAUCAUCAUCAUCAUCUAGUCAUCACCAUCAUCUCUAUUCAUCAUCAUCUUCUCUAUUCAUCAUCAUCAUCUGUUUAGUCAUCAGUACUUGACUUUUCUGCAGAAACUUGUUGGUUAGUCCCAAUCCCCCCUCCCCUCCUCCGCCCCAUGCCAUUUGUCAGCAGUUUAAAAAACUAAACCUGAUAGUUGUCAGGGUCUUAGGAGGGGAGUUGGGCAAACCCACCGGUGUAUGUGGAUUUUCCAAGGAAACAGAAUUGGCUUCAAUGCUUAUCACUCAUCUCCAUAAAUCAUUUGUCAUUAUCAAAUCCAUUUAUCUUCAUCUGUCCAUUUAAUUAUUAUCAUGUAUUCAGUCAUCUCUAUCAUCAUUCUCAUCAUUAUUCAUUACAAACAUAAUUCAUCAUCAUUUUAAGUCAUCAUCAUCACCAUCAUCAGUCAUUUUCAUCAUCAUCCUCCUCCACUUCCUUCUCCUCCUCCUCCUCAUCUUCAUCUAUUUUUAUCAUCAUUCUUAUCAUCAUUACUCAUCAUCAUUAUCAUCAAACAUUAUCAUAUCUAUCUGUAAAUCAUGCCCAAACUACAUUUAUUCAAGGUGUUAAAUGUAUACCAAACAGUCAGAUUUCUUGCCAGUUCUUUGAAACCAUUUCUUAGUUAAGUGGUGUGAUUGUUGUUGUAUGUGUAUGUUGUUUGUGUAUGUGGAGUUAUAUGUUACCAGUAACACUAUGUGUACUAUAAAUACUUAAAACAAUACUAAAUUAGCCAAGGAGGCUUUAAUAAUGGCAAACAUUGCAUGCAGUACUGGAUUUUCCCAGGACCCAUCAAUUUCCAGGACCCUGCAAAAUUAGUAUUUAUGGUAACUAUCUUCUAUGCACGGUACUGGUUUUUUUCCAGGAAGUGAAAAGAAGAAUGUGUGAAAAGUCAUGUGUGCUUGUUUUGUAUGAUAGUGUGUGUGUGGUGUGAUUGUUGUUGUUGUAUGUGUAUGUUGUUUGUGUAUGUGGAGUUUGAAAGCUUGUGUUAUAUGUUACCAGUAACAGUAUGUGUACUAUAAAUACUUAAGACAAUACUAAAUUAGCCAAGGAGGCUUUGUUGAUAAUGGCAAACAUUGCAUGUAGUACUGGAUUUUCCCAGGACCCAUCAAUUUCCAGGACCCUGCAAAACUAGUAUUUAUGGUAACUAUCUUCUUUGCAUGGUACUGGUUUUUUUCCAGGAGUGAAAAGAAGAAUGUAUGAAAAGUCAUGUGUGAUUGUUUUGUCUGAUAGUGUGUGUGGUGUGAUUGUUGUUGUCUUAUGUUUAUGUUGUUUGUGUAUGUGGAGUUUGAAAGCUUGUGUUAUAUGUUACCAGUAACACUAUGUGUACUAUAAAUACUUAAGACAAUACUAAAUUAGCCAAGGAGGCUUUGUUAAUAAUGGCAAACAUUGCAUGUAGUACUGGAUUUUCCCAGGACCCAUCAAUUUCCAGGACCCUGCAAAACUAGUAUUUAUGGUAACUAUCUUCUUUGCACGGUACUGGUUUUUUUCCAGGAGUGAAAAGAAUAAUGUGUGAAAAGUCGUGUGUGCUUAUUUUGUAUGUAAGUGUGUGUAGUGUGAUUGUUGUUUUUACAAAAAAUACAAAAAAUACAAAAAAAAAAAAAAAAACAAAAAACUAAAAAAAAAUAAAAAAAAAAAAAAAAUAAAAAAAAAAAAAUAAAAAAAGUGCAUGUUCUUGUUUGUAGUAUUUAAUGUAAUAUUUAUUGUGACCAUUGCAGGCUGCAAGAAAGAGCAUCAUAAUGCAGUUAACUGAAUUCUGUUAUGAAGCAGGAAAGGGAUAUCAAACAACAGUGGACAAGAUUUUAUUAUGAAGCAAAAAAAGGAACAUCAGAGUGCAGUGGAUGAGAUUUUUUUAACAAGGAAGAAAGGAAGGAAUAUAAACAUGCAGUGGACUGGAAUUAAUUAUGAAUCAGAAAAGGAACAUCAAAGUGCAGUUAAUGCAAUUUUAUUAUGAAAUGCAAGGAAGGGACAUCAAAGUGCAAUGGACUGGAGGCUACUGGGGAGAAGAUGUUGCUUCAAAAGAUUGGCAGAGUUGCUUUUUGCAGUAGAGGAAUAUCAAAGUGCAAUCAACUGGGUUUAACAUAAGGCAAGGAAGGAUUAUCAAAGUGUUAUGAAUUAAACUGUUUCAGGACAGGAAUAAACAACAUCAAAUUCAAAUUGACUGGAUUUUCUUGGGAAGGAUAGAAAGAACAUGAGGAAGGAACAUAAAAGUGCAAUUGAUUCAGUUUUAUUAUGGAGAAAGGAAGAAACGUCAAAGUGCAAUCGACUUGGAUUUUAUUUAAGUGCAGUGGACAGACUGGAUUUUCUCAGAGUGAAGAGAGGAUAUCUUGAUGUUAAUGUGACCCAUAAAAGUGACUAUAUUCAUUUGUAGUGUUAAAAGUGAAAAAAUAACAUAAAAAUGUUUAUCAUUGGAAUUGAUACUUUUUGUGGGGGUGGGAAUCUCUGUCCUUUGUAUACCAUUUCUUCCCAUUCAUCCUAUCUUAUUUUAUCCUGACCCUGCCCAUCCCAUCCCUGAUUGGUUACCCAGAUAUGAUUGUACAUAUAAUAUAGCAUAUAUUUGAAUUGAAAUAUAGAUGUAGAGCAUGGCCACGAAACAAACAAGAGAAAAGAUGUGUAUAAAUCAAUUUAAUAUGAAAUAUGUUGGUGUGAAAUCAUGUCUUAUUCAUGCAAUUGACACUUUCUAUAUUCACACUAUAUGAAGUAGUAAAAGUACACUUCUUUAUAAGCAAAUGUAUGUAUAUGAUAAAAAAGGUCGAAAACUUGAAUUUUUUCGAGACAUUCAUAAUAUUAUUAUUAUGGAUAGAGUCUAUUAUGUGAAGUGGAAUAAUUAUUAAAUCUGGAACCACGCUUGUACAGUUUUUUUUGGAAGUUACACUCUCGCGAUAUUUUGAAAAGAAUUUUUUAAAGGUAAUUAUAUUUUUCUCUUUGUUACAUAUUUUCUGAAUUACAAGAGUAAUUUAUAUUUCUUGUUGCCAUGCUUAUUUACAGUACUUAUACCAGUUCAUUUUCAUUCAGUUUGAGCUGCAAGGUGAAGCAGGAAAAUGGUGUCAAGUGUCAAGGCAAGCCAAAGAUGCAGUCCUGGAUUUUCCUUGGAAAAGUAUGAAGAAUGUCUGUGAAAAAAGUGACUGUGUUCAUUUGCAGUGUUUAAAGUGAAGAAAGAACAAAAAAGUUUAAGACAGCAAAAGAAGACCAUCGAACUUAAAUAGAUUAUAUCACUUUGUAUGAAGAGCAUUAUUAUGCAGUGAACUGGAAUUUAUUAUGAAGCAAGAAAGGGACAUCAAAAUGCAGUGGACAGGAAUUUAUUAUGAAUCAAGAAACGAAUAUAAAAGUGCAGAGGACUGGAUUGAAUUAUGACACAAGAAAGGAACAUCAAAGUACAGUGAAUGGAAUUUUAUUAUGAAGAAAGAAAGAGACAUCAAAGUGCAAUGGACUGGAGACUACUUGGGAGAAGAUGUUGCUUUAAAGGAUUGGCAGAGUUGCUUUUUGCUACAGGUGCAAAGCCCUGACAGAUUCCUUUACUAUUGAUUAAGACAUGCUAAUGUUGCCUUCGAGGACAAUCCGGUGUCUAUAUGUCCGCUAGAUUGUGGCGUUUUUUGGAGCGACUGGUCUGCAACAUUGUGCCGGCAAUGUUAUGAUGAUGGUUGUUCCUCUCUGUUUUGAGAGAUGGAAUCGGGGAUUGUGAGGAUUUGCAUUUCUUCCAUAUCAACAGACUGCCAAUGACAACUGACUUUAUCUCCCGUUCAUGUACAGUCAGCGAUUGAUUUGACUAUUAUGAAACAGUAGAGGAAUAUCAAAGUGCAAUUAACUGGAUUUAACAUAAAGCAACAACAACAACAAACAACAACAACAUUUAUUAGCAUAAUCGACAUAUAUAUGCCUUUGGCUAAUGAACAGUAUACAGUUCUUUCAAAGCAUUGUGCCGGCAAUGUUAAGAUGAUGGUUGUUCCUCUCUGUUUUGAAAGAUGGAAUCAGGGAUUGUGAGGAUUUGCAUAUCUUCCAUAUCAACAGACUGCCAAUGACAACUGACUUUAUGUCCUGUUCAUAUGUACAGUCGGCGAUCAUGUUGACUUUAUUAUGAAUCAGUAGAGGAAUAUCAAAGUGCAAUUAACUGGAUUUAACAUAAAGCAAGGAAGGAUUAUCAAAGUGUUAUGAAUUAAAUUGUUUCAGGACAGGAAGAAACAACAUCCAAUUCUAAUUGAUUGGAUUUUCUCAGGAAGAAAAGAAAGAACAUGAGGAAGGAACAUAAAAGUGCAAUUAAAUUCAAUUUUGUUAUGGAGCAAGGAAGAAACAUCAAAGUGCAAUCGACUUGGAUUUUAUUUAAGUGCAGUGGAUAGACUGGAUUUUCUCAGAGUGAAGAGAGGAUAUCUUAAUGUUAAUGUGACCCAUAAAAGUGACUGUAUUCAUUUGUAGUGUUAAAAGUGAAAAAAUAACAUAAAAAUGUUAAUCAUUGGAAUUGAUACUUUUUGUGGGGGUGGGAAUCUCUGUCCUGUGUAUACCAUUUCUUCCCAUUCAUCCUAUCUUAUUUCAUCCUGACCCUGCCCAUCCCAUCCCUGAUUGGUUACCCAGAUAUGAUUGUACAUAUAAUAAAUAUAGCAUAUAUUUGAAUUAAAAUAUAAAUGUAGAGCAUGGCCACGAAAUAAACAGAGAAAAGAUGUGUAUAAAUCAAUUUAAUAUGAAAUAUGUUGGUGUGAAAUCAUGUCUUAUUCAUGCAAUUGACACUUUCUAUAUUCACACUAUAUGAAGUGGUAAAAGUACACUUCUUAUAAGCAAAUGUAUGUAUAUGAUAAAAAAGGUCGAAAACUUGAAUUUUUCGAGACAUUCAUAAUAUUAUUAUUAUGGAUAGAGUCUAUUAUGUGAAGUGGAAUAAUUAUUAAAUCUGGAACCACGCUUGUACAGUUUUUUUUCGGAAGUUACACUCUCGCGAUAUUUUGAAAAGAAUUUUUUUAAAGGUAAUUAUGUUUUUCUCUUUCUUACAUAUUUGCUGAAUUACAAGAGUAAUUUAUAUUUCUUGUUGCCAUGCUUAUUUACAGUACUUAUACCAGUCCAUUUUCAUUCAGUUUGAGCUGCAAGGUGAAGCAGGAAAAUGGUGUCAAGUUUGAAGGCAAGCCAAAGAUGCAGUCCUGGAUUUUCCUUGGGAAAAGUAUAAAGAAUAUCUGUGAAAAAAGUGACUGUGUUCAUUUGCAGUGUUUAAAGUGAAAAAAUAACAUAAAAAUGUUAAUCAUUGGAAUGGAUACUUUUUGUGGGGGUGAGAAUCUCUGUCCUGUGUAUACCAUUUCUUCCCAUUCAUCCUAUCUUAUUUCAUCCUGACCCUGCCCAUCCCAUCCCUGAUUGGUUACCCAGAUAUGAUUGUACAUAUAAUAAAUAUAGCAUAUAUUUGAAUUAAAAUAUAAAUUUAGAGCAUGGCCACGAAAUAAACAGAGAAAAGAUGUGUAUAAAUCAAUUUAAUAUGAAAUAUGUUGGUGUGAAAUCAUGUCUUAUUCAUGCAAUUGACACUUUCUAUAUUCAAACUAUAUGAAGUGGUAUAAAUACACUUCUUUAUAAGCAAAUGUAUGUAUAUGAUAAAAAGGUCGUAAACUUGAAUUUUUCGAGACAUUCAUAAUAUUAUUAUUAUGGAUAGAGUCUAUUAUGUGAAGUGGAAUAAUUAUUAAAUCUGGAACCACGCUUGUACAGUUUUUUUCGGAAGUUACACUCUCGCGAUAUUUUGAAAAGAAUUUUUUAAAGGUAAUUAAGUUUUUCUCUUUGUUACAUAUUUGCUGAAUUACAAGAGUAAUUUAUAUUUCUUGUUGCCAUGCUUAUUUACAGUAUUUAUACAAGUCCAUUUUCAUUCAGUUUGAGCUGCAAGGUGAAGCAGGAAAAUGGUGUCAAGUUUGAAGGCAAGCCAAAGAUGCAGUCCUGGAUUUUCCUUGGAAAAGUAUGAAGAAUGUCUGUGAAAAAAGUGACUGUGUUCAUUUGCAGUGUUUAAAGUGAAAAAAUAACAUAAAAAUGUUAAUCAUUGGAAUUGAUACUUUUUGUGGGGGUGGGAAUCUCUGUCCUGUGUAUACCAUUUCUUCCCAUUCAUCCUAUCUUAUUUCAUCCUGACCCUGCCCAUCCCAUCCCUGAUUGGUUACCCAGAUAUGAUUGUACAUAUAAUAAAUAUAGCAUAUAUUUGUAUUAAAAUAUAAAUGUAGAGCAUGGCCACGAAAUAAACAGAAAAGAUGUGUAUAAUUCAAUUUAAUAUGAAAUAUAUUGGUGUGAAAUCAUGUCUUAUUCGUGCAAUUGACACUUUCUAUAUUCACACUAUAUGAAGUUCAUGGUAAAAAUGCACUUCUUUAUAAGCAAAUGUAUGUAUAUGAUAAAAAAAGGUCGAAAACUUGAAUUUUUCGAGACAUUCAUAAUAUUGUUAUGGAUAGAGUCUAUUAUGUGAAGUGGAAUAAUUAUUAAAUCUGGAUCCACGCUUGUGCAGUUUUUUUCGGAAGUUACACUCGCGAUAUUUUGAAAAGUUUUUCUUAAAGGUAAUUAUGUUUUUCUCUUUGUUACAUAUUUUCUGAAUUACAAGAGUAAUUUAUAUUUCUUGUUGCCAUGCUUAUUUACAGUACUUAUACCUGUCCAUUUUCAUUCAGUUUGAGCUGCAAGGGGAAGCAGGAAAAUGAUGUCAAGUUUGAAGGCAAGCCAAAGAUGCAGUCCUGGAUUUUCCUUGGAAAAGUAUGAAGAAUGUCUGUGAAAAAAGUGACUGUGUACAUUUGCAGUGUUUAUAGUGAAGAAAGAACAAAAAAAGUUUAAGACAGCAAAAGAAGACCAUCAAUCUUAAAUAGAUAAUACCACUUUGUAUGAAAGAGUGCAUUAUUAUGCAGUGAAUUGGAAUUGAUUAUGAUGCAAAAAAGGGACAUCAAAGUGCAGAGGACUGGAUUGAAUUAUGACACAAGAAAGGAAUAUCGAAGUACAGUGAAUGGAAUUUUAUUAUGAAGAAAGGAAGAGACAUCAAAGUGCAAUGGACUAGAGACUACUUGGGAGAAGAUGUUGCUUCAAAAGAUUGGCAGAGUUGCUUUUUGCUACAGGUGCAAAGCCCUGACAGAUUCCUUUACUAUUGAUUGAGACAUGCUAACGUUGCCUUCGAGGACAAUCCGGUGUCUAUAUGUCCGCUAGAUUGUGGCGUUUUUUGGAGCGACUGGUCUAAAGCAUUGUGCCGGCAAUGUUAAGAUGAUGGUUGUUCCUCUCUGUUUUGAAAGAUGGAAUCAGGGAUUGUGAGGAUUUGCAUUUCUUCCAUAUCAACAGACUGCCAAUGACAACUGACUUUAUGUCCUGUUCAUAUGUACAGUCGGCGAUCAUGUUGACUUUAUUAUGAAUCAGUAGAGGAAUAUCAAAGUGCAAUUAACUGGAUUUAACAUAAAGCAAGGAAGGAUUAUCAAAAUGUUAUGAAUUAAAUUGUUUCAGGACAGGAAGAAACAACAUCCAAUUCUAAUUGAUUGGAUUUUCUCAGGAAGAAAAGAAAGAACAUGAGGAAGGAACAUAAAAGUGCAAUUAAAUUCAAUUUUGUUAUGGAGCAAGGAAGAAACAUCAAAGUGCAAUCGACUUGGAUUUUAUUUAAGUGCAGUGGAUAGACUGGAUUUUCUCAGAGUGAAGAGAGGAUAUCUUAAUGUUAAUGUGACCCAUAAAAGUGACUGUAUUCAGUUGUAGUGUUAAAAGUGAAAAAAUAACAUAAAAAUGUUAAUCAUUGGAAUUGAUACUUUUUGUGGGGGUGGGAAUCUCUGUCCUUUGUAUACCAUUUUUUCCCAUUCAUCCUAUCUUAUUUCAUCCUGACCCUGCCCAUCCCAUUCCUGAUUGGUUACCCAGGUAUGAUUGUAUAAAUAAUACAUAAUAUAGCAUACUUGAAAUAAAAUAUUAAUGUGGAGCAUGGCCACAAAAUAAAGGAAAGAUGUGUAUAAAUCAAUUUAAUAUGAAAUACGUUAGUGUGAAAUCAUGUCUUAUUCAUCCAAUUGACACUUUCUAUAGUCACACAUUAUAUAAAGUGUUAAUAGUACACUUCUUUAUAAGUAGAUAUAUGUAUAUGAUAGAAAAGGUUGAAAACACCUAUUUUUCAAGACAUAAUUUUAUUAUGGAUAGAAAGUAUUAUCUGAAGUGGAAUAAUUAUUAAAUCUGGAACCACACUUGUACCAGUUUUCAGAAGUUACACUCCAAUGAUAUUUUGAAAAGUCUGGAAAAAGAAUUGUUUGAAAGGUAAUAUGUUUUCUGCUUGGUACAUAUAUGCAGAAUUACAGGAGUAAUUUAUAUUUGUUGUUGCCAUGCUUAUUUACAGUACUUAUACCAGUCCAUUUUUUUUUUCAGUUUGAGCUGCAAGUUGAAGCAGGAAAAUGGUGUCAAGUGUCAAGGCAAGCCAAAGAAGCAGUACUGAAUUUUCCCCAAAAAAGUAUGAAGAAUGUCUGUGAAUAAAGUGACUUUGUUCAUUUGUAGUAUUUAAAGUGAAGAAAGAACAUCAAAAUUUUAAUCAUUGGAAUUGAUACUUUUUGUGGGGGUGGGAAACUGUCUCCUUUGUAGUCCAGUUCCUUCCCAUCAGUCCUAACCCCAUUUCAUCUUGAACCGGCCCAUCCCUUCCUGAUUUGUAAUCCAGAUAUGAAUGUACAAAUAAUAUAUAUCAUAUUUGAAUUAAAAUGUUAAUAUAGAGCAUGGCCACAAAAUAAGCAGAGAGAUAUAUAUAGAUGAAUUUAAUAUAAAAUAUGUUUGUAUGAAAAUAUGUCUUACGCAUGGAAUUGACACAUACAAUAGUAACACUUUAUAAGAAUUGAUAAAAGUACACUUCCUUGUAAGUAAAUAUAUGUAUAUGAUAGAAAAGGUUGAAAACAUGAGUUUUUGGAGAUGAUGGAUUCAGUCUAUUAUCUUAUAUGAUAAUAGAGAAAAGUGGAAACUUCACAGGUCGCUCAACACGACAAAAACGAAUAUGUUGCAGGCUAGGUUUGAUUUAGCCUGUUCAUGGCUGUAGUGAAAAUGCAUGCUACCGUCCACGCCCUCUAGCCCCGGGUUGAGCAGAACUCAACAUUUACACAUGCUAAAAGUACAAAAAGCAAUAAUUAUUGAAUCUGCAACCACUCUUGUAGAGUAUGGGAACAAAUAAGCAGAGAAUGGAUUUGUAUAAAUGAAUUCAAUAUGAAAUAAUUGUUCAUGUGAAAAUAUGUCUUAUUAAUGCAAUGAAAAUUUGCUAUAGUUAAACCUGAUUAGAAGUGGUAAAAGUACAUUUCUUUGUAGAAAUGUAUAUAUGAUAGAAAAGGUCAGUUAAUAAGACUGCCAAUGACAACUGACUUUAUGUCCCGUUCAUAUGUAUAGUCAGUGAUUGAUUGGACUUUAUUAUGAAGCAGAAAAGGAAUAUAAAGGUGCAAUAGAAAGGAUUUAAUAUGAAGCAAGGAAAGAUAAUCUAAAUUUUAUAAAAAGUGACAUAAUUAAAAUGUCAAUUAUUUGAAUUGAUACUUUUUUGGGGGUGGGAAUCUGUCCUGUCUAUACCAUUUAUUCUAAUUCGUCCUAUCCAAUUCCAACUUGACCCUGCCCAUCCCAUUUCUGAUUGGUUACCCAGAUAUGAUUGUAUAAAUAAUACAUAAUAUAGCAUACUUUAAUUAAAAUAUUAAUGUGGAGCAAGGCCAAAGAAUAAGCAGAGAAAAAAUGUGUAUAAAUCAAUUUAAUAUGAAAUAUGUUAGUGUGAAAUCAUGUCUUAAUUAUCUGAAGUGGAAUAGUUAUUCAAUCUGGAACCAUACUUGUACAGUUUUCAGAAGUUAUGCUCCAAUGAUAUUUUGAAAAGUCUGGAAAAAGAAUUGUGUGAAAGGUAAUAUGUUUUCUGCUUGGUACAUAUAUGCAGAAUUACAGGAGUAAUUUAUAUUUGUUGUUGCCAUGCUUAUUUACAAUACUUAUACCACUCCAUUUUUCUUCAGUUUGAGCUGCAAGUUGAAGCAGGAAAAUGGUGUCAAGUGUCAAGGCAAGCCAAAGAAGCAGUACUGGAUUUUCCCCAGAAAAUUUGAGCUGCAAGUUGAAGCAGGAAAAUGGUGUCAAGUGUCAAGGCAAGCCAAAGAAGCAGUACUGGAUUUUCCCCAGAAAAGUAUGAAGAAUGUUUGUGAAAAAAGUGACUGUGUUCAUUUGUAGUAUUUAAAGUGAAGAAAGAACAUAAAAAUUUUAAUCAUUAGAAUUGAUACUUUUUGUGGGGGUGGGAACCUGUGCCCUUUGUAGUCCAGUUCCUUCCCAUCAGUCCUAACCCCAUUUCAUCUUGCCCCGUCCCAUCCCAUUCCUGAUUUGUAAUCCAGAUUUGAAUGUAGAAAUAAUAUAUAUCAUAUUUGAAUUAAAAUAUUAAUAUGGAGCAUGGCCACAAAAUAAACAAAGGAAAGAUGUGUAUAAAUCAGUUUAAUAUGAAAUAUGUUAGUGUGAAAUCAUGUCUUAUUCAUCCAAUUGACACUUUCUAUAGUCACACAUUAUAUAAAGUGUUAAUAGUACACUUCUUUAUAAGUAGAUAUAAGUAUAUGAUAGAAAAGGUUGAAAACACCUAUUUUUCAAGACAUUCACAAUUUUAUUAUGGAUAGAAACUAUUAUCUGAAGUGGAAUAAUUAUUAAAUCUGGAACCAUACUUGUACAGUUUUCAGAAGUUACACUCCAAUGAUAUUUUGAAAAGUCUGGAAAAAGAAUUGUUUGAAAGGUAAUAUGUUUUCGGCUUGGUUCAUAUAUGCAGAAUUACAGGAGUAAUUUAUAUUUGUUGUUGCCAUGAUUAUUUACAGUACUUAUACCAGUCCAAUUUUUUUUUUCAGUUUGAGCUGCAAGUUGAAGCGGGAAAAUUGUGUCAAGUGUCAAGGCAAGCCAAAGAAGCAGUGCUGGAUUUUCCCCAGAAAAUUUGAGCUGCAAGUUGAAGCAGGAAAAUGGUGUCAAGUGUCAAGGCAAGCCAAAGAAGCAGUACUGGAUUUUCCCCAGAAAAGUAUGAAAAAUGUUUGUGAAAAAAGUGACUGUGUUCAUUUGUAGUAUUUAAAGUGAAGAAAGAACAUAAAAAUUUUAAUCAUUGGAAUUGAUACUUUUUGUGGGGGUGGGAAUCUGUGUCCUUUGUAGUCCAGUUCCUUCCCAUCAGUCCUAACCCCAUUUCAUCUUGACCCGGCCCAUCCCAUUCCUGAUUUGUAAUCCAGAUAUGAAUGUACAAAUAAUAUAUAUCAUAUUUGAAUUAAAAUAUUAAUAUAGAGCAUGGCCACAAAAUAAGCAGAGAGAUGUGUAUAGAUGAAUUUAAUAUGAAAUAUGUAUGAAAAAUGUCUUAUGCAUGCAAUUGACACAUACAUUUGUACAAUAGUAACACUUUAUAAGAAUUGAUAAAAAUACAAUUCUUUGUAAGUAAAUAUAUGUAUAUGAUAGAAAAGGUCGAAAACGUGAGUUUUUGGAGAUGUUUAUAAUAUUGUUACAGAUUCAGUCUAUUAUCUUAUAUGGAAUAAUUAUUGAAUCUGGAACCACUCUUGUGUAGAGUAUGGGAACAAAAUAAGCAGAGAAUGGAUUUGUAUAAAUGAAUUCAAUAUGAAAUAAUUGUUCAUGUGAAAAUAUGUCUUUCUUAUUAAUGCAAUGAACAUUUGCUAUAGUUAAACUUGAUUAGAAGUGGUAAAAGUACAUUUCUUUGUAAAAAUGUAUAUAUGAUAGAAAAGGUCAGUAGACUGCCAAUGACAACUGACUUUAUGUCCCAUUCAUAUGUAUAGUCAGUGAUUGAUUGGACUUCAUUAUGAAGCAGAAAAAUGAUAUUAAAGUGCCAUAGAAAGGAUUUAAUAUGAAGUAAGGAAAGAUCAUCUAAAUGUUAUAAAAAGUAACAUAAUUAAAAAUGUUAAUUAUUAUAAUUGAUACUUUUGUGGGGGUGGGAAUCUCUGUCCUGUCUAUACCAUUUAUUCCGAUUCAUCCUAUCCAAUUCCAACUUGACCCUGCCCAUCCCAUUUCUGAUUGGUUACCCAGAUAUGAUUGUAUAAAUACCGUAAUACAUAAUAUAGCAUACUUGAAUUAGAAUAUUAAUGUGGAGCAUGGCCAGAAAAUAAGCAGAGAAAAGAUGUGUAUAAAUCAAUUUAAUCUGAAAUAUGUUAGUGUGAAAUCAUGUCUUACUCAUCCAAUUGACACUUUCUAUAUUCACACCUUAUAUGAAGUGUUAAUAGUACACUUCUUUAUAAGUAUAUAUAUAUAUAUAUAUAUAUGUAUAUGUUAAAAAAGUUUGAAAACAUGAAUUUUUCGAGACAUUUUUAAUAUUAUUAUAAAUAGUUAAUUAUCUGAAGUGGAAUAGUUAUUCAAUCUGGAACCACACUUGUACAGUUUUCAGAAGUUACACUCCAACAAUAUUUUGAAAAGUCUGGAAAAAGAAUUGAAAGGUAAUAUGUUAUUCUACUUGGUACAUAUAUGCAGAAUUACAGAAGUAAUUUAUAUUUCUUGUUGCCAUGUUUACUUACAGUACAUAUACCAGUCCAUUUUUUUUCUUCAGUUUGAGCUGCAAGUUGAAGCAGGAAAAUGGUGUCAAGUGUCAAGGCAAGCCAAAGAAGCAGUACUGGAUUUUCCCCAGAAAAGUGUGAAGAAUGUGAAUAAAGUGACUGUGUUUAUUUGUAGUAUUUAAAGUGAAGAAAGAACAUAAAAAAUUUAAUCAUUGGAAUUGAUACUUUUUUGUUGGGGCGGGAAUCUGUGCCCUUUGUAGUCCAGUUCCUUCCCAUCAGUCCUAACCCCAUUUCAACUUGACCCGGCCCAUCCCAUUCCAGGUUUGUUAUCCAGAUAUGAAUGUACAAAUAAUAUAUAUCAUAUUUGAAUUAAAAUAUUAAUAUAGAGCAUGGCCACAAAAUAAGCAGAGAGAUGUAUAUAGAUGAAUUUAAUAUGAAAUAUGUUUGUAUGAAAAUAUGUCUUAUGCAUGCAAUUGACACAUACAAUAGUAACACUUUAUAAGAAUUGAUAAAAGUACACUUCUUUGUAAGUAAAUAUUAUGUAUAUGAUAGAAAAGGUUGAAAACAUGAGUUUUUGGAGAUGUUUGUAUUAUUGUUAUGGAUUCAGUCUAUUAUCUUAUAUGGACCAAUUAUUGAAUCUGGAACCACUCUUGUGUAGAGUAUGGGAACAAAAUAAGCAGAUAAUAGAUUGGUAUUAAUGAAUUCAGUAUGAAAUAAUUGUUCAUGUGAAAAUAUGUCUUAUUAAUGCAAUGAACAUUUAAUUUUGCUAUAUUUAAACUUGAUUAGAAGUGGUAAAAGUACAUUUCUUUGUAAAAAUGUAUAUAUGAUAGAAAAGUGCUAUAGAAAGGAUUUAAUAUGAAGUAAGGAAAGAUAUCUAAAUGUUAUAAAAAUGACAUAAUUAAAAACGAUAAUUAUUGGAAUUGAUACUUUUUGUGGGGGUGGGAAUCACUGUCCUGUCUAUUCCAGAUCCUGCCUAUUCAUCCUUUCUGAUUCCAUCCUGACCCUGCACAUCUCAUUCCUGAUAGGUUGUCAUGAUAUGUUUAUACAAAUAAUAUAUAAUAUAGCAUACUUGAAUUAAAAUAUUAAUGUAGAACAUAGUUGCAUUAAAAGCAGAGAAAAGAUGUGAAUAUUUUCGUGUGAAAAUAUGUCAUAUUCAUGUAGUUGACACUUUUUGACACUUUCUAUAGUCACACUUUAUAAGAAGUGGUAAAAGGAUACUUCUGUAUAAUGUAUAUAUGAUGUUUGUAGUGUUUAGAGUGAAGAAAGAACAUGAAAUGUUAAUAAUUGAAACUGAGGCUUUGUAGGGGAUGGGAACAUUGUCCAGUCUAUUCCAGUUCCUUCCCAUUCAUACCUGUCCUAAGCCAACCUGACCCGGUCCAUCCCAUUUCUGAUGGGUAAUUCAUGUAUGAUAGUACAAAUAAUAUAUAAUAUAGCAUAUUAGAAUUAAAAUAUUUAUGUUGAGCAUGGCCCAAAUAAAGGAAGAGAAAAUAUGUGUAUAAAUAGAAUAAUUAUGAAUAUGUUUUAUUCAUGCAAUUGACACUUACUAUGGUUACACUUUAUAAGAAGUGGUAAAAGUACACUUCUUUAUAAGUAUAUAUAUAUAUAUGUUUGAUAGAAAAGGUUAAAUACAUUUGUUUUUCAAGCUGUUUAUAUUAUUAUGGAAACAGUCUAUUACCUAAAGACAAAAAGACAAAUGAUUAUUAAAUCUGGAGCCACACUUGCAUGGGCAAAUGAAGGUUCAUGUACAGUUGUUGAAAAUUACAUUCUUGCUGUAUUUUGAGAAGUAUGGAAAAAGAAUUGUUUGAUAGGUAAAAUACUUUUCUGUGUUUCAGUCAUAUUUGCUGAAUUUGCUGACCAAUGUCAGCAUUUAGGACACGGCUGUGACUAAAUUUUUAAAAAAACAUACCCUAUGUUUAACAUGUACUAAAUACUACUUUUUAGAUUUGUGUGCUGUACUGUUUGGACGCAGGUGGAUUUUCCCUGGGAAAGAAUGAAGAAUGUUUUCAAGAAGAGACUGUAUCCAUUUGUAGUGUUUGAAGUGACAAAAGAAUAACAAAUUGGUACUUACUGGAAUUUAUAUUUUUUUGUGGAGUUGGGAAUCUCUGUCCUGUCUAUUCCUGUUCCUCCCCAUUCUGUCUUGUCCCAUCCUGACCUGGCCCAUCCAUUCCUGAUUGAUAAUCUAGAAGUGUUUGUAAAAAGAACAUGUUGCAUAUUUGAAUGGAAUUGUAUACUGAAGUAGUGUUUUAGAAUAUGGCCACAAAAUAUGCUGAAAUAAAGACAGUGUAUAAAAAAUAUUAAUAGGAAAUGUGUUAGUGUGAAAAUGUGUUUUAUUUAUGCUAUGGAUACUUAGUUUAGUUUAUUAUUGUAUAAAACUAAAGUGUGUUUCAGGAAAGUAUAAUUUAUAAGUCUAUACGAGUUUUGUCAAACAUAUGGAUACAGUUAUACAGUAUUAUACAGGAUAUAAGAUAGAAUAAAUAUUAAACCUGGAAUGACAUUUGUAGCAAUAUAUAAUGGAAAAACUUGGUCUGUUGGGAAAACUAUUGGGUAUAUAAACAUUGAAUGUAACAACAUGACAAGUCUCUUACAUUAUACUGUUUCUAGAGGCAGAAGACAAAAGAUGUUGAAUGUGACAGCUGUAAAUGCUAGAAAUGUAAGCAGUAGGCUACAUGACUGAUUUCCAAAACAAAUGAUAGGCACUGGAUUACAUUUCUGUGCGGAAGGAUUAAAAAACUACACCAGACUGGUGGCCAUGACAGAUGUCAGUGGGAAAUCUAAACAUGGACUAGAUACUUUGAUGUGUAGCAAAAAAGUUCAUCGUUGAUGAUGGUGUUUUUCUGUGAUAUAUUGACUGGGAUAGUAUUACUCUUCAGAAAUACAGAGCUGUCAAUGCUGCAAGUUUGUUGUGAAAUUCACAAUCCAUGUCCAAAAGUGCUUGUUUUACUAUACAGCAAAGAAGGAGAAAUUGUACUGGGCCGACACCUAUAUGGCAAAUUCAGAAUGUGGAAUAUCUCAGCCACUAUAGGGUUUACAGUCAUGAAACUUCACACACUAGUAGCUGAUAACAAUACAAAUCAGUGGCUAAAAGGAUAUUUCCAAGGCGAUGAAUUCCAUACGUCAGUAGGAAUUUAGAAUCAUACAACCAGUCAGCAGCUACCCAUAAACCAGACCAACCUAUUAAGUCGAGUGGGCAGAAGCUGUGAUUCCCAGUGUAACACCGCAGAAAGACGGCUAGUUUUCGGAUUACAUUUCUGUGCGGAAGGAUUAAAAAACUACACCAGACUGGUGGCCAUGACAGAUGUCAGUGGGAAAUUUAAACAUGGACUAGAUACUUUGAUGUGUAGCAAAAAAGUUCAUCGUUGAUGAUGGUGUUUUUCUGUGAUAUAUUGACUGGGAUAGUAUUACUCUUCAGAAUUACAGAGCUGUCAAUGCUGCAAUUUUGUUGUGAAAUUCACAAUCCAUGUCCAAAAGUGCUUGUUUUACUAUACAGCAAAGAAGGAGAAAUUGUACUGGGCCGACACCAUGGUAUCUCAACAUAUAGUAGAUUCACCGUGAUACAUUGUACAUGUAGCUGGUCAGAUCAUACAAGAAUGUUGAGACAUGGAUAGUUGGCUUCCUGCGAAGAAGAAUGUAUAAUGUAACACCUGCAGCCAGAGAAUUCGGAGAAAGGGAUCAGCUCAAAGAACAUUGGAGGGGUCUGAUGACAAUAUUGAUAUAGGAUAUGAAGGUGAUCUACAACAUGAUUCUACAACUGCCAAUGAACUUCGGAUGAAGAGCUGGAGGGGAGUGGAGUGAGCAGAUUGCAGUACAGUCAAACCUGUCUAUAAAGACCACCCUUGGGAGAGCCAAAUGUUAUCUUUAUUGGGAGGUGGCCAUUAUUCACAGGUUAAGAUAUAUUGUAAAUGUUAAAAUGGGAAACAAAACAUGUUCUUUAGAGCCAGGUGGUCUCUGUUCAGAAGUGGUCUUUAACACGGGUUUGACUGUAUACACAUCAGUGGGAGUGGAACAGGCAGAUUUCAAUACAUACUUCAUCAGUGGGAAAAGCACAAUGAAGUUCAGCUGUUUCCAGCUUGAAACACAUGAGGUUGAAGUUGCAAGGAGAGACUGAUGGAAAAUGACAGUGACUGGACAGACAAUGAUGAUGGUGAAGAACUAUAGAAAACUGUGGAAAACUUUUAAUAGUGGACCUCAACAAGCAGACAUUGAUUCCAGUAUUCCAGACAAUGUAUCCCUCUCGUUAACUUUAAAGCAGGACUUGCACUGUCAUGUGGGGGAAAAACAUGAAAUGGAGACGAUCACUUACCAGCCUACACAGUUGACUUGAGAAGAAAUUUCUUACCAGUCAGGAAUUGGCCAAAAAGAAUGUUGAUACUGAUACAACUUCCUCGUAGCAACUUCAGUCCUACAGAUUUAUAAGGGGAGGCAACAAUUAUCACUAUUGACCUGGAAACCAUUGACCUAAUUAAGUAUGGGAAGAUGCCACAUGUCACACAAAGCCGCAUACCACAACAAAGUGUUGUAGCACAGAUAUCUGUGUCACAACUAAAAAGGAAAUUUCUCCAGAGGCACAAAGGAUCACCAGGAUUGCAUGGAAUAUUCAGACACAAUGACGAUAAAAAGCACAAUAGUCCAACACAUCUGUACCUGGAAUUAAGUCGACUGUAGAGAAAUUGUGUACUUGGCUUGAAAAGAUCCUAAAGUGUUAUAGAAGACAAUUUGAUUUUCCAGUUCUUGUCUUAGCUCUGCUGUGCACAAAAACAACUAGGACAUUAUUCAGCUGAGUUUCUUCUUAAAAGUAUUCUUUUACCAGUGUUCAAGAAACUGUAUCCUAAACAGUCAUACUUGCUAUGACACUACUUGGUAUCUGGUACAAUGCCUAUAACUGACAGACAGACAAAUUUAUUAUGAAACACUGGGAAUUUUCAAGCAGUGACAUAUACUCAUGAUAAAUUUGGUACCAUAAUGUUCAUUAUCGUAAGUAAAAAAUGACAGCUGUAAUUGGAAAUUCGAAUUGUAUUUUACUCUAUAUUUAAGAAAAUUAAUAUAUUCAAACUUGUAAAUUUUUUUCAUUUGUUAAAAUGUUAUAUCAUAGCUUUAAGCCUUAAUGCCCUCUUUUUACAAUCUGCCUAAAGAAACACUUUAGUUGUUCUUGUUUAUUAUUUAGCCAUUUUCUUGAUUAAAAAUACACAACAAACGUCUAGCUCAAGACUUUCCAAGGUUGACAAGUUUUUACUUUCUUUGACUUUGCUUAAGUUUGUCAAUUAUUAGUAAUACUUUUGUUCAAAAUUUAAUGAGGUGUAAAACCUUUAAAUAAUAUCCUUAAGCAACAGAUGUUAUGUUUUAAUAGUAAAGUAAGGAGGAGACAACCUUUACUGUAAGCUAAUGUAGCUUUCUGUCCAAUGCCUGAAAUGUUUUUUUUGUAAAUACUUCAUGACUUUCUGAAUAAAAGUGUAUAUAAACCCCAAACUUCUAAGGAGCAAGAAGACAAAAUUUCAUUUUAUCUCGUGUAUAAAAUUAAAUUUGUGAUAUUUUUCUUAGUGAUAAGUUUCUCAGUGAUAACUAGACAUUUAAUUUUAUAUCUGUAUAGAUUUUUGUACAGUUAAUUUAGGUGUAGACAAGACAAUAUUUAUAAAGACUUUUAUACCCCCAACAUCUACUGAUGCGGGAGGCAUAUAGUGAUUGUCCUGUCUGUUCGUCCAUUUGUCCGUCUGUAUGAGGUUAACCAAAUGGGACUGUUACGUCUAGCAUCAAUACCUCUAACUAGAAUGACUUGAUACUAAUGCAGAUGUAAGCUGUGACCAUUCCUCAUCUUCAGACAUCACCUGACCUUAGUUUGACCUUGACCUUGAACUUUACCUCGUUUUGGAUUUACGUUACUUCGUUUCGACAAGGAUGCCACCGGGGGCAUCAAGCGUUUAUUGAACGCAGCUCCUUGUUUUUUAUGUUUUAAGCUACCUAAUUAUCUAUAUUAGAGAAAACUGUUAAAUUUUAAUUACUUUAUAAGCGAGCGUACAUGUAAAUCCUAUUUCACUAUACUUACAUAUUAUUGAAAGCUAAGGGACUCCAUUGGAAAUAAGUGACAUUGUUACUUUCAUGGUUUAUCCCAGGCAGAAAGAUCAUCAUUUUUUUCCUGAUGUUUAUGUAUUAGCUUGAUUACACUUGUAAAGUACAAACAUAUAAAGGGCUUACUGCAUAUUUAUUAAUUCUAAUAUUUUUUUUAUUUCUGUACCACUUUGUAUUUCUGUUAGAAUUGAACCUUAUAUCUGAAUAAAAUUGAAUUGAAUUGAACUGAAUUGCAUUUUAAAUGAAACUGAAUUGAACUGAAUUCUAAACUGAACUGAAUUUGAAACAGAAACUGAACUGAAUUUUAAACUGAAACUGAACUGAACUGAAUAAAGCUGGGUAAAAAACUACAGUACAGCUUGCAGAGAGCACCAAAAGGAAGGAAAAAUCAUGUUCUGUGUAUGCAACAUAGUUUGUUCUUUGAUAACAUAAAAAAAGGAACUGAAAAAGUGGUCUCUUAAUGCAAGUAGUCUCUAAAUCAAAUGUACUUGAUGAAACUUAGUAUGCUUUUGUGCUGCACAUUUUGUAAUGUAGUUUUGUGUCUAUGAUGAUUUCUUUAAAUAAACUUUAAACAUUA
Long non-coding RNA from Mercenaria mercenaria, 20920 nucleotides. RefSeq lists it as uncharacterized. The transcript has 13 exons. Lineage: Eukaryota; Metazoa; Mollusca; Bivalvia; Venerida; Veneridae. The record is from RefSeq and is a predicted model, not a curated record.